RNAcentral lists this ribosomal RNA (466 nucleotides) under uncultured bacterium. Its description in RNAcentral is "partial 16S ribosomal RNA". It matches the Rfam family "Bacterial small subunit ribosomal RNA", at positions 28 to 507 of the family's 1533-position model. The record is from RNAcentral.
GAUGAACGCUGGCGGCGUGCUUAACACAUGCAAGUCGAACGAUGAAGCCCAGCUUGCUGGGUGGAUUAGUGGCGAACGGGUGAGUAACACGUGAGUAACCUGCCCUUAACUCUGGGAUAAGCCUGGGAAACUGGGUCUAAUACCGGAUAGGAGCACCUACCGCAUGGUGGGUGUUGGAAAGAUUUAUCGGUUUUGGAUGGACUCGCGGCCUAUCAGCUUGUUGGUGAGGUAAUGGCUCACCAAGGCGACGACGGGUAGCCGGCCUGAGAGGGUGACCGGCCACACUGGGACUGAGACACGGCCCAGACUCCUACGGGAGGCAGCAGUGGGGAAUAUUGCACAAUGGGCGAAAGCCUGAUGCAGCGACGCCGCGUGAGGGAUGACGGCCUUCGGGUUGUAAACCUCUUUCAGUAGGGAAGAAGCGAAAGUGACGGUACCUGCAGAAGAAGCACCGGCUAACUACGUG